AAUUUGUGAAUAUAGAAUGGGUGUAAACUAUUAAGGACAUUGCAAAACUAUGCCUUAUCAUUAGGCGGAGGGCUUGUUCAGGGUGUCAGGCGGCCAGUACAAAGUGUGGCGUGGACACUGUUUAGUUGGGUUCUACUUGUUAUACGGAACAAUAAAUAAAUAAUUAAAGGCAACCUCUUAGACAGGGUAAAAAUGCUUAAAUUAACAGAAUACGAGCUGGCGCCUUCUCAAUAUUAGUCAACUAAAGAAAAAUAACAAUCUGUUCUGCCCACAAACAUUCAUUCUCUUACUGUCUUUCAUUUUCCCUUCUUUUUGUCUUCUUCUGUCCAAACUCUUUACCCUUCACCAACUUUCUAUCUGUUCUGUUCUGUUGAGGUGCAUCUUCUGUGCAUCCCCGGCCCGGCAGCAGACGACGCCAGGACUUGCUGAAAACUUUAGUGUGGCGUGGCGGCUUACAACGGGAAUAUGGAGGUGUGCAUGCUUAGUGUGCACAGUUACUAGCAAUGUAUGUAUCGCAAUGUUGUAUAUGCAGUAAAAAAUAUUGUGUGCAGAGAAAAGUAAGCAAAUAUGAAGUAUUACACGUAUAUUUGGUCCUUAAAUAGUGAUGGCCAUGACUGACCGGGAAAGAAGCUCAUUUUGGCGUUAUGGCGUAUUGAAAUAUUGUUAGUGUGUAAAUAGAUGAAAAAUUUAAUGUUUCAUAUACCUUGCUACUGAAAGUGCAGUAAACAUAGCGAGUUAUGCUAUAAUGGACAUGUAUCCGGUCCUCAACACAACGUACUCUGGUGAUCCACAGGUUCACGUGGAGGAGAUAUCGAGAUUAAAAUGGUGAACAGAAAAGUCUGACUGAGUGUUUAGCAGUGGAUGAGAGAUGAAUUAAGGAAAUGGUUGGCAUGCCAAGGAAUGUUUGAUGGGCGUGUCCCACAGAAUUAAAUGGAGGUGCUCCUUUGUGAAGGGUCACACCAUAUCACUCCCCGUGAUGUUCUCCUUUGUAAAGGAUCGCACCAUAUGACUUCCCUGCCUCUCACCACUGUCAGUAAGGAAUACAUUUCAGAAUCCUCUGCAUCUGGGGAGGAGCCUGGAGUGGACACUUCCCCAGCCACAGACCAUGCUGGUGUGAGGCAGCAGCCUGAGGUGCUCCUUUGUGAAGGGUCACAGUGUAUCACUCCCCUGCCUCUCACCACUGUUGGGAAGGAAUGCAUU
Scylla paramamosain (green mud crab) is the source of this 1200-nucleotide long non-coding RNA. RefSeq lists it as uncharacterized. The transcript is spliced from 3 exons. Lineage: Eukaryota; Metazoa; Arthropoda; Malacostraca; Decapoda; Portunidae. The record is from RefSeq and is a predicted model, not a curated record.